Molecule: ribosomal RNA, 430 nt
Filed under: uncultured bacterium
Lineage: Bacteria
Description: partial 16S ribosomal RNA
Rfam family: Bacterial small subunit ribosomal RNA
Source: RNAcentral
CCUACGGGUGGCUGCAGUCGAGAAUCUUCGGCAAUGGGCGCAAGCCUGACCGAGCGACGCCGCGUGCGGGAUGAAGGCCCUCGGGUUGUAAACCGCUGUCGAGGGGGAUGCAGAUCCCUGGAGGAAGGGUGGGCUAAGUUCGUGCCAGCAGCCGCGGUAAGACGAACCACCCAAACGUUAUUCGGAAUCACUGGGCUUAAAGCGUGCGUAGGCGGCCUUGAAAGUUAGGUGUGAAAUCCCACAGCUCAACUGUGGAACUGCGCUUAAAACUACAAGGCUAGAGGGAUAUAGAGGUGAGCAGAACAGAUGGUGGAGCGGUGAAAUGCGUUGAUAUCAUCUGGAAUACCGGAGGCGAAGGCGGCUCACUGGUACUUCUGACGCUGAGGUACGAAAGCUAGGGGAGCGAACGGGAUUAGAUACCCCAGUAGUC